RNAcentral lists this ribosomal RNA (484 nucleotides) under uncultured bacterium. RNAcentral describes it as "bacterial SSU rRNA". It matches the Rfam family "Bacterial small subunit ribosomal RNA", at positions 775 to 1268 of the family's 1533-position model. The record is from RNAcentral.
AGAUAAUAGAUACCCAGGUAGUCCACGCCGUAAACUAUGCUUGCUAGCUGUUAUCAGUAUCGACCCUGGUAGUAGCGAAGCUAACGCGUUAAGCAAGCCGCCUGUGGAGUACGAGCGCAAGCUUAAAACCCUAAAGGAAUUGACGGGGACCCGCACAAGCGGUGGAGCGUGUUGUUUAAUUCGACGGUAAGCGAAGAACCUUACCCAGGCUUGACAUCCUGCCAAGUUUUCCGAAAGGAAAAUGUGCCUUCGGGCCGCAGUGACAGGUGAUGCAUGGCCGUCGUCAGCUCGUGUCGUGAGAUGUUUGGUUAAGUCCAUCAACGAGCGCAACCCUUAUAGUCAGUUGAAUUUUUCUGGCUAGACUGCCCCGGUAACGGGGUAGGAAGGAGGGGUACGAUGUCAGGUCAUUAUUUCCCUUACGGUCUGGGGCUACAAACACGCUACAAUGGCCGGUACAAAGGGCAGCUAAGUCGUGAGGCGGAGC